RNAcentral lists this unclassified non-coding RNA (254 nucleotides) under Hevea brasiliensis (rubber tree). The record is from RNAcentral. Lineage: Eukaryota; Viridiplantae; Streptophyta; Magnoliopsida; Malpighiales; Euphorbiaceae.
CCUAACCCUAGCCCCAUCUUCAACCCCUUCUUCUAUAUAAAUAAUCCAAAGCCCAAAUCACCAUUGUCAAUUCUCCUCUCCUCUGUUUCCUUUCCUCAAAGGAAAGCUACUCCUUAACCUUAGCUAUCGGAAACCUUCCCCUGUUUCUUCCUUAUCAGCGAAAUAGAUCACCCAAAGAAACCAGACCUUUUUGUUGUCUUUGUGAAUGGUGGAAAUCUUAAGCACUAGUAAUUACAUGCUCUCCCUUUGCCAAU